Long non-coding RNA from Gavialis gangeticus (Gharial), 264 nucleotides. RefSeq lists it as uncharacterized. The record is from RefSeq and is a predicted model, not a curated record. Lineage: Eukaryota; Metazoa; Chordata; Crocodylia; Gavialidae. The transcript is spliced from 3 exons.
AAGGAAAAUGCAGGGUAAGGGGCAGCACGGGGGCUGCAGUCGGCCCAGGCCAUGGGGCAGACACAGCAGCGCGGCCGGCACCAGGGCUGCACAUACACAUGGACGCCUCCACCUACGGACAGGGCAUGCAGGGAGGCUGCGACGUGCCCUGGCUUCCCCUCUGCCCUCACCAGUGGACGUCAGCCCCCAGGAGCCUGGGUGUUCGUGUGGCACUGGGGCUGCAGCCAAGGACCGUGCUGGAGGCCUCACGCAGACCAGACUCCA